RNAcentral lists this long non-coding RNA (222 nucleotides) under Trifolium pratense (red clover). RNAcentral's name for it is "long non-coding RNA (TPRA_LNC005542)". The record is from RNAcentral. Lineage: Eukaryota; Viridiplantae; Streptophyta; Magnoliopsida; Fabales; Fabaceae.
GAUGGUGUUAUUAUUAUUGGACAUUUUAAUUUCUUCUAGCUUAUUAUGAAGAUGUGUAGGAUUAGAAAGUGAUGUGCACUGUUUGUUUGUUUUCAAUAGGAAAUAUGAUUAAAGAAAGUAGGUGCAACACACAAUUGGAGUUUCAAUGAGUUAUAAUGGUGCCAGAAUAUGAUUUAUCAACAAGAAUUCGGAUCUUUGCUUAACUAGAAAGUUGAUGUGGAG